AGAGUUUGAUCCUGGCUCAGGAUGAACGCUAGCGGUGUGCCUAAGAUAUGCAAGUCGAGCGGUCCCGCAUUCUGCGGGAUAGCGGCGGACGGCUGAGUAACACGUCCGAACUUACCUUCAUCUGGAGGAUAACCUGUCGAAAGAUGGGCUAAUACUCCAUGGUCCCUAAACUGAUCUUUAAUCUAGUUUAGGGUAAAGGCUGUAACUGGCCGGAUGGAGAAAGGCGGGCGGACUAUCAGGUAGUUGGUAGGGUAAUGGCCUACCAAGCCUAUGACGGUUAGCUGAUCUUAUGAGGAUGGUCAGCCAGAGGAGCACUGAGACACGGGCUCCACGUCUACGGACGGCAGCAAUUAGGAAUAGUUGGCAAUGGGCGAAAGCCUGACCACGCGACACCGCGUGCGGGAAGAAGCUCUUCGGAGUGUAAACCGCUGUGGUAGAGGAAGAAGUCCCGCAAAAUGCGGGAUUGACGGUACUCUACUAGAAAGGGAUCGCUAACUGCGUGCCAGCAGCGGCGGUAAUACGUGGAUCCCAAGCGUUAUCCGGUGUUACUGGGCGUAAAGCGUGUGUAGGCGGUUUUUUAGGUUGGUUCUAAAAUCCUCCUGCUCAACAGAAGGACCGGAACCAAUACCAAAAAACUUUGAACUUUCUUUAAGGAAACUG
RNAcentral lists this ribosomal RNA (660 nucleotides) under uncultured bacterium. Its description in RNAcentral is "bacterial SSU rRNA". It matches the Rfam family "Bacterial small subunit ribosomal RNA", at positions 8 to 664 of the family's 1533-position model. The record is from RNAcentral.